This 460-nucleotide ribosomal RNA is filed under the name uncultured bacterium. Its description in RNAcentral is "partial 16S ribosomal RNA". It matches the Rfam family "Bacterial small subunit ribosomal RNA", at positions 338 to 795 of the family's 1533-position model. The record is from RNAcentral.
CCUACGGGUGGCAGCAGUGAGGAAUAUUGGUCAAUGGACGAGAGUCUGAACCAGCCAAGUCGCGUGAAGGAUGACUGCCCUAUGGGUUGUAAACUUCUUUUAUAUGGGAAUAAAAUGUUCCACGUGUGGGAUUUUGUAUGUACCAUAUGAAUAAGGAUCGGCUAACUCCGGGCCAGCAGCCGCGGUAAUACGGAGGAUCCGGGCGUUAUCCGGAUUUAUUGGGUUUAAAGGGAGCGUAGGUGGAGUGUUAAGUCAGUUGUGAAAGUUUGCGGCUCAACCGUAAAAUUGCAGUUGAAACUGGCAGUCUUGAGUACAGGAGAGGUAGGCGGAAUGCGUGGUGUAGCGGUGAAAUGCUUAGAUAUCACGAAGAACGCCGAUUGCGAAGGCAGUUCACUGGACUGCAACUGACACUGAGGCUCGAAAGUGUGGGUAUCAAACAGGAUUAGAUACCCCUGUAGUC